This 449-nucleotide ribosomal RNA is filed under the name uncultured bacterium. RNAcentral describes it as "partial 16S ribosomal RNA". It matches the Rfam family "Bacterial small subunit ribosomal RNA", at positions 29 to 523 of the family's 1533-position model. The record is from RNAcentral.
AACGAACGCUGGCGGCAGGCUUAACACAUGCAAGUCGAACGCGCCCUCCGGGGCGAGUGGCAGACGGGUGAGUAACGCGUGGGAACCUACCUUUUGGUACGGAAUAACUCAGGGAAACUUGAGCUAAUACCGUAUGUGCCCUUCGGGGGAAAGAUUUAUCGCCAAAGGAUGGGCCCGCGUCGGAUUAGCUAGUUGGUGGGGUAAUGGCCUACCAAGGCGACGAUCCGUAGCUGGUCUGAGAGGAUGAUCAGCCACACUGGGACUGAGACACGGCCCAGACUCCUACGGGAGGCAGCAGUGGGGAAUAUUGGACAAUGGGGGCAACCCUGAUCCAGCCAUGCCGCGUGAGUGAUGAAGGCCUUAGGGUUGUAAAGCUCUUUCGCCGGUGAAGAUAAUGACGGUAACCGGAGAAGAAGCCCCGGCUAACUUCGUGCCAGCCGCCGCCGUAA